RNAcentral lists this ribosomal RNA (629 nucleotides) under uncultured Russulaceae. RNAcentral's name for it is "LSU rRNA". It matches the Rfam family "Eukaryotic large subunit ribosomal RNA", at positions 47 to 649 of the family's 3401-position model. The record is from RNAcentral. Lineage: Eukaryota; Fungi; Basidiomycota; Agaricomycetes; Russulales; Russulaceae.
UAAGCGGAGGAAAAGAAACUAACAAGGAUUCCCCUAGUAACUGCGAGUGAAGCGGGAAAAGCUCAAAUUUAAAAUCUGGUGGUCUUUGGCCAUCCGAGUUGUAAUCUAGAGAAGCGUCUUUCCGCGCUGGACCGUGCACAAGUCUCCUGGAACGGAGCGUCGUAGAGGGUGAGAAUCCCGUCUUUGGCAUGGACACACCAGGGCUUUUGUGAUGCGCUCUCGAAGAGUCGAGUUGUUUGGGAAUGCAGCUCAAAAUGGGUGGUGAACUCCAUCUAAAGCUAAAUAUUGGCGAGAGACCGAUAGCGAACAAGUACCGUGAGGGAAAGAUGAAAAGCACUUUGGAAAGAGAGUGAAACAGUACGUGAAAUUGUUGAAAGGGAAACGCUUGAAGUCAGUCGCGUCGACCGAGACUCAGCCUCGCCUCGGCUUGGUGUACUUCUCGGCCCGACGGGUCAGCAUCAAUUUCGCCUCUUGGAUAAUGGCGAGGGAAACGUGACACCUUUACGGUGUGUUAUAGUCUCUCGUCGCAUGCAAGGGUCGGGAUUGAGGAACUCAGCACGCGCCUUUGGGCGUCGGGGCUUUGCCUACGAUACGUGCUUAGGAUGUUGGCGUAAUGGCUUUAAACGACC